CACAGAGAUGUAAAGUGACUUGCCUGAAGUCACACAGCAGACGAGUGGCAGAGCUGGGAUUCGAACCCAUGUCAAUGAUUAAACCUAGCAGGGGAAAGCUGCAGGAGGCUAACGAGAUGACUGGAACUCAAGAUUUGCCAAUUAGCCUGUAUGCUAUCGCGGAAGGACCGAUUUGAAUAAACAGAGCCUUAGAAGAACGCCUUCAUGACCAAUUCCAGGAAGGAUAGCAACACGCUUCCUGAAGGCAUUCAGGGGACAAUGCAUCCUCUUGCCCUUCUGCAGAAUUUUCCACUAGAACCGUUUGCUCAAUGCACCUCUCCUCUCCCAGAGACCCAGUUGGGGAAAUGACAAAGGGAAUGGAGCAUCAGUGACCGCAUUUUCCGGGUGCACAGAAGGAGAAAAGUUCUUGAACACGGACGUGAGUCAGUCCAUCAGUGGCACUGUGCAACCAUUCCACGCAGAAAACUAAAUCUGAAACGAGUGAUUGUCUUGGAACAGAGGAUUAAGGAUGAUCUUCGAGACUAAGAGAGUGAAGUGAAAUGGCAACAGGUACUUUGGGUAUUAAAUAUAACAGUGCAGCAAUAGAUAGGAAUGCAGCCUGGCCUAGCAGGAAAAUCCUGGGGCUGCGA
Tachyglossus aculeatus (Australian echidna) is the source of this 629-nucleotide long non-coding RNA. RefSeq lists it as uncharacterized. The record is from RefSeq and is a predicted model, not a curated record. NCBI's taxonomy places the organism in Eukaryota, Metazoa, Chordata, Mammalia, Monotremata, Tachyglossidae. The transcript is spliced from 5 exons.